GGGCGUGUGGUCUAGAGGUAUGACAUUCGCUUCGCAUCAAAAUUACGCUGUGAAAGGUCCUGGGUUCAAUUCCCAGCUCGUCCA
Non-coding RNA from Lasiosphaeris hirsuta, 84 nucleotides. The record is from the annotation of a GenBank genome assembly. NCBI's taxonomy places the organism in Eukaryota, Fungi, Ascomycota, Sordariomycetes, Sordariales, Lasiosphaeriaceae.